This 1200-nucleotide long non-coding RNA is filed under the name Struthio camelus australis. RNAcentral describes it as "lncRNA (ENSSCUG00000008575.1)". Lineage: Eukaryota; Metazoa; Chordata; Aves; Struthioniformes; Struthionidae. The record is from RNAcentral.
UGCUUGUUUACCCUAAGGGUUCCAUCUUCACAGCCAACUUCCUUUCUCCUCCUUUUCGUUACUGUUGUUCGAACAUUGCAUUAGGAUGAAAAAAGAAGGCCGUAGCAAGGACCAACGGCUAAGUAGCAGCGACAGCGAUGUUCCUCUUGAUUCCUGAAACUGAAUCAGAAGUUCAGCAUGGAAACAAGUCCCUUAAGCCAUUCUCUAGAGUGAAGGACCCUCGUUCUUCCCCACCUUUCAUAGCAGGAGGGGAAACUGCAGAAUAAGCACAAUGUUAAUGAGUACAACCCACUUGCCAAACUUUCUGCUGCAACAGAACUUCCUCUGGUCCCAAGAGGGCACAGCCAUUUUAGUGGGACCAUAUAGCUGAAAAGAAAACAAUAUUCGCUUCACUUUGGACUGCUAAGAAAAAAUGAAUGAAUCCUAAAAUGCUUAUUGAAGUAAACUUUUUGUCUUCCCAUGUUGAUAUCUUCUUAUCUCUCAAUUUUGGAUAUAUUGAUGUGUGUCUUGUGGCUUUCUUACAAUUGGUAAGAUUCAUGUCUUCAAUGUCCUCUGUUAUGUUAUUUUGGGGAGAAUUGCACAAUUUUAUUAUAUAGUGCUAUUUUGAACAAGGUAUUUACAAAACACUUAUGUAUUUUUAUAUGCUGCCAUUCCUAAGAAUGCAAGACAUAACCUACUGAACUGUCUUAGCUAUACUGGAAAUCAGUAUUUAUUCAGUAACUUAAUUUCAGAGAGAGAUUUAUUUGCAUCUGCAGAAGGCUGGAGUGCUGAAGAACUACUCUCAUCGAAAUGUAAUGGCUGUAUUUCUGUGCCAUUCUGCAUCCUUCCUUGUGUUCUCACGUAUCUGUCUUGUUUUUGCUGUUAAACUAACAUUGUUAUGCAUGAUAUCUAUUCUGAACUGCUGAUGAGGCAGUUAUUGUGUGCCCACAGCCAGUAUGCACAUAGAUAGAGAACACUGAGUGGGCCAGUGAGUGAGGGCUGUGCCUGAUUACAGGUCUUCAGUAGAUGUCCUAUGUUACCUUAAUAGCUUUCAGGGAAUGCACCAUUUCUACAAUGGCAGUGCAGUGCAAGGUCCUCUAAGCUAUGGACCUUAGGGAUCAAUUAAUUCCAGUAUCUCAGGGACUGCAACUGAUGUAGUGCAGCAGAAGGGCAUGAUAAAUCCUAUUUGUGUCUGCCAAGAGCUUUGGGACCCUAUAGGAA